Molecule: ribosomal RNA, 1367 nt
Filed under: Salmonella enterica
Lineage: Bacteria; Pseudomonadati; Pseudomonadota; Gammaproteobacteria; Enterobacterales; Enterobacteriaceae
Description: partial 23S ribosomal RNA
Rfam family: Bacterial large subunit ribosomal RNA
Source: RNAcentral
CUGAAGCAACAAAUGCCCUGCUUCCAGGAAAAGCCUCUAAGCAUCAGGUAACAUCAAAUCGUACCCCAAACCGACACAGGUGGUCAGGUAGAGAAUACCAAGGCGCUUGAGAGAACUCGGGUGAAGGAACUAGGCAAAAUGGUGCCGUAACUUCGGGAGAAGGCACGCUGACACGUAGGUGAAGUGAUUUACUCAUGGAGCUGAAGUCAGUCGAAGAUACCAGCUGGCUGCAACUGUUUAUUAAAAACACAGCACUGUGCAAACACGAAAGUGGACGUAUACGGUGUGACGCCUGCCCGGUGCCGGAAGGUUAAUUGAUGGGGUCAGCGCAAGCGAAGCUCCUGAUCGAAGCCCCGGUAAACGGCGGCCGUAACUAUAACGGUCCUAAGGUAGCGAAAUUCCUUGUCGGGUAAGUUCCGACCUGCACGAAUGGCGUAAUGAUGGCCAGGCUGUCUCCACCCGAGACUCAGUGAAAUUGAACUCGCUGUGAAGAUGCAGUGUACCCGCGGCAAGACGGAAAGACCCCGUGAACCUUUACUAUAGCUUGACACUGAACAUUGAGCCUUGAUGUGUAGGAUAGGUGGGAGGCUUUGAAGUGUGGACGCCAGUCUGCAUGGAGCCGGCCUUGAAAUACCACCCUUUAAUGUUUGAUGUUCUAACGUGGACCCGUGAUCCGGGUUGCGGACAGUGUCUGGUGGGUAGUUUGACUGGGGCGGUCUCCUCCUAAAGAGUAACGGAGGAGCACGAAGGUUGGCUAAUCCUGGUCGGACAUCAGGAGGUUAGUGCAAUGGCAUAAGCCAGCUUGACUGCGAGCGUGACGGCGCGAGCAGGUGCGAAAGCAGGUCAUAGUGAUCCGGUGGUUCUGAAUGGAAGGGCCAUCGCUCAACGGAUAAAAGGUACUCCGGGGAUAACAGGCUGAUACCGCCCAAGAGUUCAUAUCGACGGCGGUGUUUGGCACCUCGAUGUCGGCUCAUCACAUCCUGGGGCUGAAGUAGGUCCCAAGGGUAUGGCUGUUCGCCAUUUAAAGUGGUACGCGAGCUGGGUUUAGAACGUCGUGAGACAGUUCGGUCCCUAUCUGCCGUGGGCGCUGGAGAACUGAGGGGGGCUGCUCCUAGUACGAGAGGACCGGAGUGGACGCAUCACUGGUGUUCGGGUUGUCAUGCCAAUGGCACUGCCCGGUAGCUAAAUGCGGAAGAGAUAAGUGCUGAAAGCAUCUAAGCACGAAACUUGCCCCGAGAUGAGUUCUCCCUGAGACUUUAGGUCUCCUGAAGGAACGUUGAAGACGACGACGUUGAUAGGCCGGGUGUGUAAGCGCAGCGAUGCGUUGAGCUAACCGGUACUAAUGAACCGUGAGGCUUAACCUUACA